This is a long non-coding RNA of Talpa occidentalis (Iberian mole), 706 nucleotides long. RefSeq lists it as uncharacterized. The transcript is spliced from 5 exons. The record is from RefSeq and is a predicted model, not a curated record. NCBI's taxonomy places the organism in Eukaryota, Metazoa, Chordata, Mammalia, Eulipotyphla, Talpidae.
CGGGGCGUGCCCCCAGAAGCCUUUGCGCGUUCAGUGUUCAGUGACCCAGCUCGCCAUUUUGAGGGGUAGCCUGUGGCGCCGCGCUCUCUUUGGCUGGGUGACUCCUGAGCCACAUUUUGAAGAGAGACGUGCUGGUUCUGAAGUAUGGUGAAUUCACUUCCAGGACACUCAGAUCUGGCUGGCCCUUGCAGCUCCAGAGGAAUUGUUUUGCCUGGCUUAUUUUGUGGAUAGAAGGCUCAGCUGCCUUUUCUCACACUCUGGAAUCCAGCAGACGUUUUCCUUGGUCAUCAACAGAGAAGUGGGGAGUCUCUUCUCUUAAUGUGCUAAUAAUCUCCUGCCAAGUUCCAGAGUACUCUCGCCUUUCCUUGAAGAUGCUGAUUAUUUGUUCAUUGCUCAAGACAUCUGGAUACCUUGUAUCGUGGCUGUUAUGAAGAGUGCUGCAAUGAACGUGGGAGUGCAGAAACUUGGUUGAGAUCUUGAUUUCAGUUCUUUUGGACCUAUACACAGAGGUAGAGAAGGAAAGGAGAGGAGAGGAGAGAGAAUGUUUAUCAAACAUUCUGGUGUGGUGGGAUGACUACGUGUCCCAGUUUACAUCAUUGACCUGAUAUUCCAACUGCUUCCCAUUUCACCUGAAUUGUCCUGUGUGACAGAAUAUUGUCUGUAAUGUUUGCAAUAAAGUAAUCCAGAAUGGACAGAGUAGACCUCC